AGUGCAUGUGGUGGAUGCCUUGGCGAUCACAGGCGAUGAAGGACGCGGUAGCCUGCGAAAAGCUACGGGGAGCUGGCAAACAAGCUUUGAUCCGUAGAUGUCCGAAUGGGGAAACCCACUCCUUUUGGAGUAUCCAUGGCUGAAUACAUAGGCCAUGUGAAGCGAACGCGGUGAACUGAAACAUCUAAGUAACCGCAGGAAAAGAAAUCAACCGAGAUUCCCAAAGUAGUGGCGAGCGAAAUGGGAUGAGCCUUGCACUCUUUAUUUGUAUUGUUAGCCGAACGCUCUGGAAAGUGCGGCCAUAGCGGGUGAUAGCCCCGUAGGCGAAAACAGUAUGAAAGAACUAGGUGUGCGACAAGUAGGGCGGGACACGUGAAAUCCUGUCUGAAGAUGGGGGGACCAUCCUCCAAGGCUAAAUACUCGUGAUCGACCGAUAGUGAACCAGUACCGUGAGGGAAAGGCGAAAAGAACCCCGGGAGGGGAGUGAAAUAGAUCCUGAAACCGCAUGCAUACAAACAGUCGGAGCCUCGUAAGGGGUGACGGCGUACCUUUUGUAUAAUGGGUCAGCGACUUACGUUCAGUAGCAAGCUUAACCGUAUAGGGCAGGCGUAGCGAAAGCGAGUCCGAAUAGGGCGUUCAGUUGCUGGGCGUAGACCCGAAACCAAGUGAUCUAUCCAUGGCCAGGAUGAAGGUGCGGUAACACGUACUGGAGGUCCGAACCCACUAACGUUGAAAAGUUAGGGGAUGAGCUGUGGAUAGGGGUGAAAGGCUAAACAAACUUGGAAAUAGCUGGUUCUCUCCGAAAACUAUUUAGGUAGUGCCUCGUGUCUCACCUUCGGGGGUAGAGCACUGUCAUGGUUGGGGGGUCUAUUGCAGAUUACCCCGCCAUAGCAAACUCCGAAUACCGAAGAGUGCAAUCACGGGAGACAGACAUCGGGUGCUAACGUCCGGUGUCAAGAGGGAAACAACCCAGACCGCCAGCUAAGGUCCCCAAAUAUAGCUAAGUGGGAAACGAAGUGGGAAGGCUAAAACAGUCAGGAGGUUGGCUUAGAAGCAGCCACCCUUUAAAGAAAGCGUAAUAGCUCACUGAUCGAGUCGUCCUGCGCGGAAGAUGUAACGGGGCUAAGCUAUAUACCGAAGCUGCGGAUGCGUGCUUAGCACGCAUGGUAGGAGAGCGUUCCGUAAGCCUGCGAAGGUGCGUUGAAAAGCGUGCUGGAGGUAUCGGAAGUGCGAAUGCUGACAUGAGUAGCGAUAAAGGGGGUGAAAGGCCCCCUCGCCGUAAGCCCAAGGUUUCCUACGCAACGUUCAUCGGCGUAGGGUGAGUCGGCCCCUAAGGCGAGGCAGAAAUGCGUAGCUGAUGGGAAGCAGGUCAAUAUUCCUGCACCAUUGUUAGAUGCGAUGGGGGGACGGAUCGCGGAAGGUUGUCCGGGUGUUGGAAGUCCCGGUCGCUGCAUUGGAGAAGGCGCUUAGGCAAAUCCGGGCGCAGGAUUCAAGGGUGUGGCGCGAGCUCCUUAGGGAGCGAAGCAAUUGGAAGUGGUUCCAAGAAAAGCCUCUAAGCUUCAGUCUAACGAUGACCGUACCGCAAACCGACACAGGUGGGCGAGAUGAGUAUUCUAAGGCGCUUGAGAGAACUCGGGAGAAGGAACUCGGCAAAUUGGUACCGUAACUUCGGGAUAAGGUACGCCCUUGUAGCUUGACUGGCCUGCGCCAGGAGGGUGAAGGGGUUGCAAUAAACUGGUGGCUGCGACUGUUUAAUAAAAACACAGCACUCUGCAAACACGAAAGUGGACGUAUAGGGUGUGACGCCUGCCCGGUGCCGGAAGAUUAAAUGAUGGGGUGCAAGCUCUUGAUUGAAGUCCCGGUAAACGGCGGCCGUAACUAUAACGGUCCUAAGGUAGCGAAAUUCCUUGUCGGGUAAGUUCCGACCUGCACGAAUGGCGUAACGAUGGCCACACUGUCUCCUCCCGAGACUCAGCGAAGUUGAAGUGUUUGUGAUGAUGCAAUCUACCCGCGGCUAGACGGAAAGACCCCAUGAACCUUUACUGUAGCUUUGCAUUGGACUUUGAACCGAUCUGUGUAGGAUAGGUGGGAGGCUAUGAAACCGGAACGCUAGUUUCGGUGGAGCCGUCCUUGAAAUACCACCCUGGUUUGUUUGAGGUUCUAACCUUGGUCCGUGAUCCGGAUCGGGGACAGUGCAUGGUAGGCAGUUUGACUGGGGCGGUCUCCUCCCAAAGCGUAACGGAGGAGUACGAAGGUACGCUAGGUACGGUCGGAAAUCGUGCUGAUAGUGCAAUGGCAUAAGCGUGCUUAACUGCGAGACCGACAAGUCGAGCAGGUGCGAAAGCAGGUCAUAGUGAUCCGGUGGUUCUGUAUGGAAGGGCCAUCGCUCAACGGAUAAAAGGUACUCUGGGGAUAACAGGCUGAUACCGCCCAAGAGUUCAUAUCGACGGCGGUGUUUGGCACCUCGAUGUCGGCUCAUCUCAUCCUGGGGCUGUAGCCGGUCCCAAGGGUAUGGCUGUUCGCCAUUUAAAGAGGUACGUGAGCUGGGUUUAAAACGUCGUGAGACAGUUUGGUCCCUAUCUGCCGUGGGCGUUGGAUAUUUGAAGGGGGCUGCUCCUAGUACGAGAGGACCGGAGUGGACGAACCUCUGGUGUACCGGUUGUCACGCCAGUGGCAUCGCCGGGUAGCUAUGUUCGGAAGAGAUAACCGCUGAAAGCAUCUAAGCGGGAAACUCGCCUUAAGAUGAGAUAUCCCUGGGGACUAGAUCCCCUUGAAGGGUCGUUCGAGACCAGGACGUUGAUAGGUCAGGUGUGUAAGCGCAGUAAUGCGUUCAGCUAACUGAUACUAAUUGCCCGUAAGGCUUGAUC
Molecule: ribosomal RNA, 2867 nt
Filed under: Burkholderia paludis
Lineage: Bacteria; Pseudomonadati; Pseudomonadota; Betaproteobacteria; Burkholderiales; Burkholderiaceae
Description: bacterial LSU rRNA
Rfam family: Bacterial large subunit ribosomal RNA
Source: RNAcentral